RNAcentral lists this ribosomal RNA (858 nucleotides) under uncultured Gemmatimonadota bacterium. RNAcentral describes it as "bacterial SSU rRNA". It matches the Rfam family "Bacterial small subunit ribosomal RNA", at positions 28 to 897 of the family's 1533-position model. Lineage: Bacteria; Pseudomonadati; Gemmatimonadota. The record is from RNAcentral.
GACGAACGCUGGCGGCGUGCUUAACACAUGCAAGUCACGGGGGCCCGCAAGGGCAACCGGCGAACGGGUGCGUAACACGUGAGCAAUCUGCCGAUUUCUGGGGGAUAGCCGGCCCAACGGCCGGGUAAUACCGCAUACGCUCUGGUGGUGGAGUCACUGUCAGAGGAAACCUCCGGGGGAGAUCGAGGAGCUCGCGGCCUAUCAGCUAGUUGGCGAGGUAACGGCUCACCAAGGCGACGACGGGUAGCUGGUCUGAGAGGAUGGCCAGCCACAUUGGGACUGAGAGACGGCCCAGACUCCUACGGGAGGCAGCAGUGGGGAAUCUUGCGCAAUGGCCGAAAGGCUGACGCAGCGACGCCGCGUGUGGGAUGACGCCUUUCGGGGUGUAAACCACUGUUGCCCGGGACGAACGACCCCAUUCGUGGGGUGUGACGGUACCGGGUGAGGAAGCACCGGCUAACUCCGUGCCAGCAGCCGCGGUAAUACGGAGGGUGCGAGCGUUGUCCGGAAUCACUGGGCGUAAAGGGCGCGUAGGCGGCCUGGCAAGUCAGUGGUGAAAGCUCGCGGCUCAACUGCGAGUCGGCCACUGAGACUGUUGGGCUCGAGUCGACUAGAGGCAGAUGGAAUUCCGGGUGUAGCGGUGGAAUGCGUAGAGAUCCGGAAGAACACCGGUGGCGAAGGCGGUCUGCUGGGGUCGAACUGACGCUGAGGCGCGACAGCGUGGGGAGCAAACAGGAUUAGAUACCCUGGUAGUCCACGCCGUAAACGAUGGGCACUAGGUGCUUGGGGGAGCGACCCCCUGAGUGCCGGCGCUAACGCAUUAAGUGCCCCGCCUGGGGAGUACGGCCGCAAGGCUGA